RNAcentral lists this ribosomal RNA (1425 nucleotides) under Klebsiella variicola. RNAcentral describes it as "bacterial SSU rRNA". It matches the Rfam family "Bacterial small subunit ribosomal RNA". The record is from RNAcentral. Lineage: Bacteria; Pseudomonadati; Pseudomonadota; Gammaproteobacteria; Enterobacterales; Enterobacteriaceae.
AGGCCUAACACAUGCAAGUCGAGCGGUAGCACAGAGAGCUUGCUCUCGGGUGACGAGCGGCGGACGGGUGAGUAAUGUCUGGGAAACUGCCUGAUGGAGGGGGAUAACUACUGGAAACGGUAGCUAAUACCGCAUAACGUCGCAAGACCAAAGUGGGGGACCUUCGGGCCUCAUGCCAUCAGAUGUGCCCAGAUGGGAUUAGCUGGUAGGUGGGGUAACGGCUCACCUAGGCGACGAUCCCUAGCUGGUCUGAGAGGAUGACCAGCCACACUGGAACUGAGACACGGUCCAGACUCCUACGGGAGGCAGCAGUGGGGAAUAUUGCACAAUGGGCGCAAGCCUGAUGCAGCCAUGCCGCGUGUGUGAAGAAGGCCUUCGGGUUGUAAAGCACUUUCAGCGGGGAGGAAGGCGGUGAGGUUAAUAACCUCACCGAUUGACGUUACCCGCAGAAGAAGCACCGGCUAACUCCGUGCCAGCAGCCGCGGUAAUACGGAGGGUGCAAGCGUUAAUCGGAAUUACUGGGCGUAAAGCGCACGCAGGCGGUCUGUCAAGUCGGAUGUGAAAUCCCCGGGCUCAACCUGGGAACUGCAUUCGAAACUGGCAGGCUAGAGUCUUGUAGAGGGGGGUAGAAUUCCAGGUGUAGCGGUGAAAUGCGUAGAGAUCUGGAGGAAUACCGGUGGCGAAGGCGGCCCCCUGGACAAAGACUGACGCUCAGGUGCGAAAGCGUGGGGAGCAAACAGGAUUAGAUACCCUGGUAGUCCACGCUGUAAACGAUGUCGAUUUGGAGGUUGUGCCCUUGAGGCGUGGCUUCCGGAGCUAACGCGUUAAAUCGACCGCCUGGGGAGUACGGCCGCAAGGUUAAAACUCAAAUGAAUUGACGGGGGCCCGCACAAGCGGUGGAGCAUGUGGUUUAAUUCGAUGCAACGCGAAGAACCUUACCUGGUCUUGACAUCCACAGAACUUUCCAGAGAUGGAUUGGUGCCUUCGGGAACUGUGAGACAGGUGCUGCAUGGCUGUCGUCAGCUCGUGUUGUGAAAUGUUGGGUUAAGUCCCGCAACGAGCGCAACCCUUAUCCUUUGUUGCCAGCGGUCCGGCCGGGAACUCAAAGGAGACUGCCAGUGAUAAACUGGAGGAAGGUGGGGAUGACGUCAAGUCAUCAUGGCCCUUACGACCAGGGCUACACACGUGCUACAAUGGCAUAUACAAAGAGAAGCGACCUCGCGAGAGCAAGCGGACCUCAUAAAGUAUGUCGUAGUCCGGAUUGGAGUCUGCAACUCGACUCCAUGAAGUCGGAAUCGCUAGUAAUCGUAGAUCAGAAUGCUACGGUGAAUACGUUCCCGGGCCUUGUACACACCGCCCGUCACACCAUGGGAGUGGGUUGCAAAAGAAGUAGGUAGCUUAACCUUCGGGAGGGCGCUUACCACU